AUCAUCGCCAUUUGAUGAACAAUUUUGUGCCUUUUCUGUAGAAUGCAUUACGACAGCAAAGAUUUGUUCGAGAAGUCACAAUACAGUACAAUUUAUGCAAUGAGCCUUGGAUUAAAUACAGUAUAAGCAUAGUUGCCGACAAGGGACUUAAGAAACCUCUUUAUACAUCAGCUCGCCUGAAGAAGGGGGAAGUUCUGUAUCUAGAAACACAUAAAAACAGGUAUGAGCUCUGUUUCAAUGGUGAGAAGAUGAUCAACACAAUGACUACUUAUCAGGCACCUGAUGCAAUGUCAGAAAAGCUCCAUCAAAAUGGUGAAAGAAGCCUUGACCGUGAGACCAUGGUUGUUGAUGUAUUCCGGUGGUCUCGUUGCAAGAAACCCCUUCCUCAGAAAUUCAUGCGUUCAAUUGGGAUUCCUCUAUCCCUUGAACAUUUGGAGGUGAUGGAGGAGAACCUUGAAUGGGAAGAUGUGCAGUGGUCACAAACUGGUGUGUGGAUAGCGGGGAAAGAAUACCUUCUUGCAAGAGUGCAUUUUCUGUCACCAAAUUAAGGGUGGAGUUUUCCUU
Long non-coding RNA from Telopea speciosissima, 564 nucleotides. RefSeq lists it as uncharacterized. The transcript has 4 exons. NCBI's taxonomy places the organism in Eukaryota, Viridiplantae, Streptophyta, Magnoliopsida, Proteales, Proteaceae. The record is from RefSeq and is a predicted model, not a curated record.